RNAcentral lists this ribosomal RNA (301 nucleotides) under uncultured bacterium. RNAcentral describes it as "partial 16S ribosomal RNA". It matches the Rfam family "Bacterial small subunit ribosomal RNA", at positions 509 to 808 of the family's 1533-position model. The record is from RNAcentral.
CAGUAGCCGCGGUAAUACAGAGGGUGCAAGCGUUAAUCGGAAUUACUGGGCGUAAAGCGCGCGUAGGUGGUUUGUUAAGUUGGAUGUGAAAUCCCCGGGCUCAACCUGGGAACUGCAUCCAAAACUGGCAAGCUAGAGUAUGGUAGAGGGUGGUGGAAUUUCCUGUGUAGCGGUGAAAUGCGUAGAUAUAGGAAGGAACACCAGUGGCGAAGGCGACCACCUGGACUGAUACUGACACUGAGGUGCGAAAGCGUGGGGAGCAAACAGGAUUAGAUACCCCCGUAGUCCCUGUCUCUAUACA